This 234-nucleotide long non-coding RNA is filed under the name Lathyrus oleraceus (garden pea). Its description in RNAcentral is "Pisum sativum (pea) long non-coding RNA (PSAT_LNC005995)". The record is from RNAcentral. Lineage: Eukaryota; Viridiplantae; Streptophyta; Magnoliopsida; Fabales; Fabaceae.
UGGCAAUCAUCCGCUCAUAGUAAAAAGAACUCAAGGUCUUCAAAAAGAUCUUGGUCAUCUCUUUCUCUUCUAGCAGGGGCACGAUCUGUGCUGCUACCUCUCGCCACCUCUGGGCGUAAUCUUUGAACGUUUCUUUGUCCUUCUGGGACAUAGCCCUCAAUUGAUCCCUAUCGGGAGCCAUAUCCACGUUAUACUUGUAUUGUUUGAUGAAGGCCUCGCCAUGGUCGUUGAAGG